GACGAACGCUGGCGGCGUGCUUAACACAUGCAAGUCGAACGGAAAGGCCCUGCUUUUGUGGGGUGCUCGAGUGGCGAACGGGUGAGUAACACGUGAGUAACCUGCCCUUGACUUUGGGAUAACUUCAGGAAACUGGGGCUAAUACCGGAUAGGAGCUCCUGCUGCAUGGUGGGGGUUGGAAAGUUUCGGCGGUUGGGGAUGGACUCGCGGCUUAUCAGCUUGUUGGUGGGGUAGUGGCUUACCAAGGCUUUGACGGGUAGCCGGCCUGAGAGGGUGACCGGCCACAUUGGGACUGAGAUACGGCCCAAACUCCUACGGGAGGCAGCAGUGGGGAAUAUUGCACAAUGGGCGGAAGCCUAAUGCAGCAACGCCGCGUGCGGGAUGACGGCCUUCGGGUUGUAAACCGCUUUCGCCUGUGACGAAGCGUGAGUGACGGUAAUGGGUAAAGAAGCACGGGCUAACUACGUG
RNAcentral lists this ribosomal RNA (468 nucleotides) under uncultured bacterium. RNAcentral describes it as "partial 16S ribosomal RNA". It matches the Rfam family "Bacterial small subunit ribosomal RNA", at positions 28 to 507 of the family's 1533-position model. The record is from RNAcentral.